CAAUAAUCCACUCUACAAAUAGGUUAGUUUGUGGUCUUGAUGCAAGAUACCACUACAUACUGCAAAAUGUUAGACGCGACGUCUGUUAUCUGGUGAAUAACGCGAGUGGAGAGCAUCAACAACGCUCCCGUGUCGCAAAACGGAAAGUUAUUGCGAAACGAGGAAACGAUUAUAGAAAUGCAACGCGGCAAAAGUGUAUUAUUUCUUAUUAUGUUGCGCAAAACUGUAACAGAGCAGACUCGGUUGACUGUGUGUCGUGAGUUCUAUCGUCGAGCAUUUCCCCAAGGAAAUGUACGUCUGCGAUGAGAAUAAGUCGUAAUUGUACUUCAUUUAACUCGCGAGUUGUCGAGUUGAAAGGGACGUGUAAUCGUGUUCAUCCUUCUUCACCACGUAAACUGGAAACGUUUUAAACGCGACAGUUUGUCUUGCGAGACACGAAUGGAAAAGUUGACGAUAUUGUUCGUUUAGUUUCGCCUUUGUCCGCUGUUGAUCAUUGCUCGAGCAACUGGAGGUUUAGGUUAGGUUCGAAAUGAAUGCGUGAUUUUUUUCAAAUGAACGAUAAAACGUUAAUUAAUCGUUCAUUUGCAUACGUGUUACAUAAGAUAUAUAAUAUAAAAAAUAUCCGUAAAAUUAUGGAAGAGUAAUUUCAUUUUGUUAUUUGAAAAGAAAGUUUGUUGCUAGGUGUAAUUGAACACAUACACAAACCGAUGGCAAACUAAUUAUGUAUUGUCUUCCUGGUUGUGUAACAAGAUUUUUCAGUAUUUAAUAAUUAGUAUAAUUAUAAAAGAAAAUAACAAUUGCGAAUAAUAUACAGAAGUUAAAAAAAUAGUUCGUUAUUGCUUAUAAUUUUAUUAUCACUAUAUUACGUAUCGUUAAAUUCUUUCAUAGAGAACAGAAUUUGACGAACGUGUAAAAAUGUAUAUUUAGAAAUUUCCAUUGCUAUUCCAUUCAUAUUACAAAUUACCGUGUAUUACAAAUCCGAGUAAUUAAUUCGCGGAAUUUAUUAUCCGGCAUUAAUCAAAAUCUACCGUUAUUACUUGGAAGUUGCGUGUCUGAGAGUUAGCGAGUGGCAAGGAUACGUUUAAAGAGAUAUGGCCGUCUUGUUUACGACUCCUACGAGCAUUUUGUGUUUCGAGUAACGCGCGAUAACGACGGCCGAGAAUAAAACGAAACGUUGCUCAAAUGGGGAGGAAGAGGAAAAGACUUUCUCCGAGUGAGAAGAUCCUUAUUCGCUUUCCCUGCUACCGAAGAUUCGUUGUAAGGGCAACAAUGUCGAGAGAUAAUACGCAUAAUCAUUAUACACGCAUCUUCCUCUGAAACAAGAAUAUUUUCAAAUUUUUAUUUGAGGAAAAAAUCACAAAAAAAUCAUAAGAAAUCUGAACGCAUUGUACAUACGAGUACUAAAGUAUCUCGCAUCGUUAUUGAUCGAUAUCGGCGUCCUGCACAGCCUACCUCCAGCUGCUCCAUUAUGUACAUCAAUGUUAAGGUCGUCCCAUCCCGCGUAACGAACGUAAUGGAAAUUGGUGAUCGUCAAUGUGGGUCAAGUUGAUGUCCGGUUUCGCGAAACUGGAAUACGAGCAUCAAAGCUAUAUAUCGAGAAGUAGAAUCGUGCGACGGACGUAACGAAACACCUCUCUUUCCCUUUCAAAUUAAAAAGGGAACAGAGAUCGUGGAACAAAUCACUCUCUAGCCCGACAGCGAAACGAGAAAACGAACAUUUCUCGUUGUGUUUGGUGGCGUCUUUCAACGCCAGGACAAAUCAACACGUCGGGUUACGUAACACCUAUUCGUGACCAUAUUGUGAAAAAUAUGCUCGACAGGUAUACACGCGCGUAUGGAAGACUUUCACGGAUGCUUUAUCGCGGUGAGCGGACAGUUCUCGAAAAUUGGGCGAGCCGCCAUAUUGGAUCAGUAAUCUCUCACAAUAUGGACUUUUUAUGGAAGAUUACAAAGUAACGUUUAAAGAAUUGCAACAUAGAGUUAUCGAUUAUCCAAUUAUUCGAUAAUAUUAUAUGAUAGAUACGUACUCAAUGUUUAUAUUGUUGGAACAGUAUUUAAAAACGAUUAAUUUAUCUCUUUUGUAAUGCAUUUUUCUUACGAGUCUUACAAGAAAUUCGAUCGAAACUCUUCUGAAACUCUUAAAUCACCAUUUGAUUUCUGCCGAUUUUGCUCGAUCAAAGAUAAAGGAAUAAAGGCUAAACCUCUUUGGGACCGGUCUACCGACACGGAGGUAGGAUCGAUGACGAUCGAAGGCACUUUCCAUGAAAUUCCUCGAGCCGCAAGGUUUCAUCAUCGUACAGAACGAAAGAAAUCGAAAACUGUCCACGUCGAUGCAUUCUUCCAGAUUCCGGUUCUUGGCUGUCCUUAACAUUGAACGGGCUGGUCGUGUCCGACCUUACGUCGGGAGAGGAUGUUUUGCAACUUGGAGAUUUCACUUUGAUACCCUGCAUUCUUGCCGGUCACUGGAAUCGUGCCCAUCUCUUUAAUCGGACACCCUCUAAAGAAAUGGAUUGAUAAUUAGAAAAUGGCCUUGCCUUCGUCCUCGAUAAUUGAAUGCUGGAUUUUGCAUUAUAUUCGAUAAUUAUUUUAAUCCUGCCUUUCUUCUCCAUUAUUGGAUAAUAUCACAAUAUCAUAGAGAAUGCAUUCAACGAGACAUGAUAUAAAAUAGCAAAAAGUUGUAAUAAAGCAAAUCAACCAACGCGAAGAAUCAUCCUCGAGAAAGAUAGAACUGGAAAGCCAUGAAGUUAAGAUUCCUUUCGAAAUUGGAGAAUUGGAGAAAUGAUGUUAAUUCGUUCAUUUUCUCGCGUUCCAAUUCACCGGCGGAAAAUC
This 2829-nucleotide long non-coding RNA is filed under the name Apis florea (little honeybee). RNAcentral describes it as "uncharacterized LOC116414478". The record is from RNAcentral. Lineage: Eukaryota; Metazoa; Arthropoda; Insecta; Hymenoptera; Apidae.